ACCUCCCUACCUAGCUGACCUAAUUAAACCUUACGUAUGGUUAGGGCUCUGCGUUCUGAAGGUGCAGGACUACAUAGUGUCCCUAGGGUGAAUAAAAAGUCUGUGGGUCACAGAGCUUUCUCUUAUUGUGCCCCUGUUCUGUGGAAUGAUCUCCCUGCAU
Molecule: long non-coding RNA, 160 nt
Organism: Thalassophryne amazonica
Lineage: Eukaryota; Metazoa; Chordata; Actinopteri; Batrachoidiformes; Batrachoididae
Exons: 2
Source: RefSeq, a predicted model, not a curated record